GCACCUUGGUCACCAUUAUUUGCUCCUUUUAUAUUGAGCAGUACUGGAGACAGGUGG
This 57-nucleotide microRNA precursor is filed under the name Ciona intestinalis (vase tunicate). Its description in RNAcentral is "microRNA cin-mir-4048 precursor". Lineage: Eukaryota; Metazoa; Chordata; Ascidiacea; Phlebobranchia; Cionidae. The record is from miRBase by way of RNAcentral.